GAUGAACGCUAGCUGGAGGCUUAAUACAUGCAAGUCGAGCGGGAUUGGUAGCAAUACCAUGAGAGCGGCGGACGGGUGAGUAACGCGUACACGACCUACCUUUGACUGGGGGAUAGCCCUGGGAAACUGGGAUUAAUACCGCAUAUAAUUCUGAAUAAUAAAGGUUUGGAAUGAAAGUUCAGGCGGUCAGAGAUGGGUGUGCGUCUGAUUAGCUAGUUGGUAAGGUAACGGCUUACCAAGGCGAUGAUCAGUAGGGGGCGUGAGAGCGUGAUCCCCCACACGGGGUACUGAGACACGGACCCGACUCCUACGGGUGGCUG
RNAcentral lists this ribosomal RNA (320 nucleotides) under uncultured Bacteroidota bacterium. RNAcentral describes it as "bacterial SSU rRNA". It matches the Rfam family "Bacterial small subunit ribosomal RNA", at positions 28 to 351 of the family's 1533-position model. Lineage: Bacteria; Pseudomonadati; Bacteroidota. The record is from RNAcentral.